Non-coding RNA from Misgurnus anguillicaudatus (oriental weatherfish), 4989 nucleotides. NCBI's taxonomy places the organism in Eukaryota, Metazoa, Chordata, Actinopteri, Cypriniformes, Cobitidae. The record is from RefSeq and is a predicted model, not a curated record.
UGCAUGCUUUGAAUAAAGAUAGGUAUGUAUUAAUUCAUCUAAGUUGAGGUAAGAACAAAGUAAAAUAUUGAAAAAUUGUGGUGUUUUCCUUUAAAUUACAGUUAGCUUUGGCUGUCUUUUCUGAGUAAAUUCUGUUUUAAAGGAAGGUACAUUGUUUUCGCAUUGUGAGACAUGUAGCCUAGUUUCAAGUACUACACAUCCUUCAUGAAAGCACUUUUUAUCUUCAAAGCAAAUUGGUCUUUAAAGUUUCCGAAAUGCCUGUUUGGUUUUCAUCAUCAAGUGUCUACAAAGUUUGUUUGGGUUUUUUUGUCUGCAACUCAAUUAUGAUUGUGAAACUUUGCAUAUGUGAGCAAUAAUCAUAGAGGGUUUUGUGCUGCAUUUCGACAACAUGUCAAAUAUUCAAACAAAUGUAAAAGAUAAUAUGUUACCGUGUCUGUGAAGUCCAGGCUAAAGUCUCAUAAUCUAUUUAUGAGAUUAGGAGCAUCAUUGAUUUCACAUUCAUUUCAAUCUUACUCAGUCAAUAUUAAAGAUAUCAAGGUUAUAUUUUCACAGAAUGUUCAUGUAGGAUGAUUUUAUGUGGAAAACAGUAAAUCACUUAAAGGACCCACCAUUUAAUAUUUUAUUAUUUUCUUACCAUAAUUUAGAUUAAUACAUACCUUAUUUAAUGCAUGCACUUAAUCUUUGUACAGCGCAUCGUGCAUGUGUUAGCAUUAAGCCCUAUUCAUUCCUUAGGAUCCAAACAGGUUUCCAAACUUAGUUUGCAGCUAAGGCACGCAGUAACAUCAUCACUCCUUACUACUCUCACCGCUCAAACUUUCAUCAAUAUUACUGCGCACCGAGGUCAAAGUGCUGCAAACUAAGUGCUCUUCCGCCAUACAAUAUAGUUUUCAUUUUUUAUCUGCUUAAAAAAUCGCCAUGUUUUAUUUUGUGCCACCAUACUUACUGGUGUAACUACUCAUGUAACAAUCUUUAAAUAAAGAAAACAUGGAAGUGUUUGGUGGCUUCUAAAUUCAUCCCUGUUUGGAUCCUAAGGAAUGAAUGGGGCUAGGCUAAAUGCUAACCCUUUCACAACGUGCUGUACAAAGAUUAAGUGCAUGCAUUGAAUAAAUAUAGGUAUGUAUUAAUUUGUCUAAGUUAAGGUAAGAACAUAGCAAAAUAUUGAAAAACUGUGGUGUUUUCCUUUAAAAGACUUUAGCUGGGUUUUCACAGACUGGGUCACAUAUUUGGUCCCAAUUACGCCCCAAAAGUUGACUUGAAAAAAGCAUAAUUAUUUUAUGCAUAAUGAAAAAUAUUUUAUCAAGCUUGUGUGCUAAAGAAAUUUACUGUAUGUAUUUCACUGGUGCUUUUAUAUAGAUCUCUUGAAACCUGAGAUCUCAUUUCAUGUAUUUGUAUUGCUGCAUAAUGCAUUUUUAUUUAAAGAAAAAUUCUGUUUUGUACAAACGUUUAUUUGGGUGCAUAGAAUGAAAAGGUCAACUAUGAUACUCAAUGACUUUAUUUAUAGGCCUAAUGAACCUAUUGGCUUAAGUAAAACUUAAGGUUUACAGUACAUUUGGUUUAAAGUGAACAUCAUUUUUUUAAGGUGCUAAAGAGUGUGUACAUCAGUGUUUAAAACCAUUGUACACUCAAAAUGCUGUUCGUAUAGGCACUUGAAACAACAUCUUUUUCAUAUAAGUUGUGAGAAAUAGAACACAUCAGUUAGUACUCUAGUUGCAGAGAUAGAUAAGCUCUAUGAUAACCCAAUGUGAACCUACAGUAUGUUUUGGGCAACUUGAAGUCACAGAGUGGCAUGGGUAAAUGCACGCUACUUUUUCUGAACAACAAUACUGUUGUUUUUGUGUAAAACCAUCAUGUGUAACAAAACCAGAUUAUUAUGUAGCCCUGAGUGUUAAUAUAGCUCAGGGUGAUUGUUUCAACUCUCAUAAGUGGUGCUUGUGCAUAGUACUGGAUAAGCAUGCAUUGACAAAUCUCACGUAGGUGCUACACUAGUUUGAAUUAUGUGCUAUUUGGGGAAUGUUUUACUUAUCUUACAUUAUCAGAUCAUGCUGGUGGUUGUUAACUGUGCACCACAAAUAAUACUAUGACCUCCCCAUUGUAAUCGGUUAAAAUUGAAACAUCAUUACUAUCUGCUGGGUCCAUUGAAUUUUUACUAGAGAAUUACCGAUGCAAUUUGUUUCAAAGAUCACACGUUUUAUGCAUUGUUUUAAGAUAUUGUUUUCCAUGAAUUUGUUUUGUACUGUCACUGUUCAAAAUUAUUUGUUUAAAUCUGAUUAUUUGUUUGUAGGCCGAUCUGGAUGGCUAAUCUGCUAUUCAUUACCCCGGGAAUGUUUGUUGUUUUUGUUAUUUUCAGUUUAUAAGUACAUCAUUUUGUUUUACAAUAUAAAUAACGUCAUAGAAUUUUGGUUGUGUGCUUUAAAAAAGUUUACAAUACAAAAAAAUGAACAUCAGACAUCCAUUGUGGUCCUUGUUUAUAUUUACUCAUAUUCAUUUGACAUAUGGGUCAAUGACAUGACAUGCAUUUUUUUUUGGUCUGAAGGCAUUAUGUACUAUAAAAAUAACUUGAUACAUUUAUGACAUGUGUCACUUUAUUACAUAAAACCCAUUUAGUUUAAAUACAUUUUCAGGAUUUUUUAAUAAUAAAUGCAAAUGUUUGCUCAAACUAUAUACAAAUGACCAGUUUUUGACAACUAUUAAAAAUGGUGUUUACAUUUUUAAAAGAUGAAAUACUUUUUAAUGUUCAAAACUUAAGCGAAUUUCACGAAUAUCAGUAGUUGUUGUGAUGUUAGGAUAAUUGAAAAACGUUUGUCCAACAAUUUGGAUGUUCUCAAAUCAACCGCAAUCAUUAAGAAUAUUAUAUUAACCAAAGGCUCAGUCCAUUGCUCACGUCUUGCUUUUGAAACACAUAGAGAAGCUACGGUAGCCACCACCGGACAAACAUGUCAUCGCCGAAUACAACUUAGUAAAAAAGUUUGUCCGUUAAGAGCUUCUGUAGAAAAAUGUAAGGGGACCCUCGGUGUAUGUAGAUAAAAAAUUCUCAUUCUAAGGUAAUAAAUACAUAACAGUUCAUUAUAAAAGGUCUUUAUACACCUUUGAUAAUAUAGUUUUGUAUAUUAUUUUGCAUUUCUGUCAAGAGAUUCUUUUAAAAAUUACACACUGCACCUUUAAGAAGUAACAAAUAUUAAUAGUAAACAUGUUAUCACAUCAUCCAGUGAACCGCAGUUGGUCUUUAUAGCUGAAUGAAAAGUUUGUAAAUUUCUCUCAAAUACAAAAAAAAUAGUAAUGUGUGCUGGUACACGUUCUGUGUCAGGUGGUACAACCAAUGCUAGAAAAAUGCUAUUUAUCAAACAUUUUAAUAAAAAUGAUAAUUAUGAAUUUGAUAUCACAGGUAAAAGCAUCCGUGUAGAAGUGUGUUAAAUGUAAAUUCAUUGCAGUGGUCAGGAGGUGCAACAAAAAAGUCAAAUGGUGCUACUGCUUUAAACGCCUCUAUCAAAUAAAAAAACAUUAAGCGAAAUAAUUUUAAUAAGAUAAUAAUUUAGCUACUAUUUUCAUUGCAAGCUAAAGAGUUUUUAAUUGUUAUUAUACAUUUUUUAAAUUAUUGUUCUUAAAUUUAUAGUUAUCAAAUGUAAGUUUAAUGUUAAAGUUGUUUUACAUUUUAACACUAUUUUCAGGAUUAUACAUUUACAUGGCACUAAACAAACAAUCAGCAUGACACAGGCAUUGCAUUAAAACUUAUCUGGCAAAUAGAAAAUGAUUGGUUGUACCACCUGACAUUUUUUAAAGGGGAUAUCAAAAGUAUUUAAAAAAUAUAUUAUUAAAAUGUAUUGAAUUUGUCAAAAAACAAAACUUUUGCCCCUGACUCAAAAAUAUGCAUUACAUUCAUUUAUAAAAGAUAAAAAAAUACUUUUGUCAUUGACCCAUACACUUUUAUCCAAAGCAACAGUGCAGACGAUUUCAAUUUUUUAUUUGUGUUCCCUGUAAAUCCAACCACAACCUGCAGUUUUAGUGCAAUGCUUAAUCAAUUAAACUAUACUAUUGGAAUACAUUGUGGUGUUGUAUUCUUAUAUUGAACUAUAUGAAUACUACAAUGUUGCAACAUGUAUGACUUUGUGUCAUUAUUCCUAAAACCACAGUCUGUGUUUUGAUCAUAAGUUGAAACUACUGCUAUUAUAACCUAAAAGAAAGAGAAAACCCCAAAUACCAAGUUUUGACCACGGCUCUUUUACAUAUAACUUAUAUAAACCAGCUCAUUUGCGUGAAAAGCAACAUUCUAAAAACUGAAUGUGAAUUAAAAAUUGUUACAUUCCAUUUCCACCUGAUAUAUUUACCUGACUAUUCACAUUGGAAAUAUUCUGCAUGUUUCUCUCCGUGUAGUCUUUGGUUUUCCUCUUUCUCAGGUAGUCGCUGUGCUCUAAUGUAAUUUUGAACAAGCUUUUUCACACUGUCUUCCAAUUAAACACACAAAAAUGUACAUUUACUUUUUUUUAAACUAAAAUUGGUUUCUCUUAUCUCAUGUUCAUUUAUAUAAAGAGUUUGGCAUUAUGAUCUAUAUUAGGUGAAUGUCUAAGGUUAUAAAGCUGAAGUAUGUAAUCUACACCAAUAGUCACUAAACUGAAAUAUUUGUACAAACACUUAACCCACCUGCAAUUGGUCAGACAAACAGAUAAUCAUGUCUCAAACUUACACUAAAAGCCAAUGUUGCUGUGUUGGGUUGGUUGGGAUGCUCAAACAAACAGGUCAAUGUACUCAUAGCAGCACAAAGCCACAGUGUUGAAUUCAGCCAACAGAUCACCUAAUAAGUAUAAAAAAUUACACACUUCAGCUUUAAGUAUGAAUGUAAGCUGUGUUAUAUAAUUUUACACCAUUUUUUUUUAAAGCAAACAAGAUCAUGACUUUAAAACUUACUGUAUUCAUUCUUUGUGUGACUUGAAAUGAAAAAAGCACCAGCUUUUUGGAUUUUUCUUUUAGAAAAUAAAAUGCACAGUACAGUUGUGA